AUAUUGCCAUUUUGACAAUAUUAAUUCUUAAGAAAUGGUUUGAGGCCUUGCCCUGCUCCAUCCAGAGCAAGUUUCUAGAAAUUUUAAACAAAU
RNAcentral lists this small nucleolar RNA (93 nucleotides) under Sorex araneus (European shrew). RNAcentral describes it as "Small nucleolar RNA SNORA9 (ENSSARG00000020220.1)". The record is from RNAcentral. Lineage: Eukaryota; Metazoa; Chordata; Mammalia; Eulipotyphla; Soricidae.